GGAGGCUGGCGGCGGACGGGCCCCUCGCCAACCCGGUCAGAUCCGGAAGGAAGCAGCCGUAACGAGUUUAGGCCCGGGUCGUUUGUUCAGUCUCCCAC
RNAcentral lists this signal recognition particle RNA (98 nucleotides) under Rhodospirillales bacterium. RNAcentral's name for it is "signal recognition particle sRNA small type". It matches the Rfam family "Bacterial small signal recognition particle RNA". From Rfam's summary of the family: The signal recognition particle (SRP) is a universally conserved ribonucleoprotein involved in the co-translational targeting of proteins to membranes. Archaeal SRP consists of a 7S RNA and homologues of the eukaryotic SRP19 and SRP54 proteins. The record is from RNAcentral. Lineage: Bacteria; Pseudomonadati; Pseudomonadota; Alphaproteobacteria; Rhodospirillales.